AUUGAACGCUGGCGGCAGGCUUAACACAUGCAAGUCGAGCGGUAACAGAGAGAAGCUUGCUUCUCUGCUGACGAGCGGCGGACGGGUGAGUAAUGCCUAGGAAUCUGCCUAGUAGUGGGGGAUAACUUGCCGCAAGGUAAGCUAAUACCGCAUACGUCCUACGGGAGAAAGGAGGGGACCUUCGGGCCUUUCGCUAUUAGAUGAGCCUAGGUCGGAUUAGUUAGUUGGUGAGGUAAUGGCUCACCAAGACCGCGAUCCGUAACUGGUCUGAGAGGAUGAUCAGUCACACUGGAACUGAGACACGGUCCAGACUCCUACGGGAGGCAGCAGUGGGGAAUAUUGGACAAUGGGGGGAACCCUGAUCCAGCCAUGCCGCGUGUGUGAAGAAGGUCUUAGGAUUGUAAGGCACUUUAAGUUGGGAGGAAGAGCAGUUAACUAAUAUUUGACUGUUUUGACGUUACCGACAGAAUAAGCACCGGCUAACUUCGUGCCAGCAGCCGCAGUAA
Molecule: ribosomal RNA, 506 nt
Filed under: uncultured bacterium
Lineage: Bacteria
Description: partial 16S ribosomal RNA
Rfam family: Bacterial small subunit ribosomal RNA
Source: RNAcentral